This is a long non-coding RNA of Schistocerca serialis cubense, 2354 nucleotides long. RefSeq lists it as uncharacterized. The transcript has 3 exons. The record is from RefSeq and is a predicted model, not a curated record. NCBI's taxonomy places the organism in Eukaryota, Metazoa, Arthropoda, Insecta, Orthoptera, Acrididae.
UCCAAGUGUUGGAUAUGGAAUAAUUUACCAUACUGAACUUUUCUCACAUCUUUGCACGAGUUAUUGAUUGCAGUUUAUUAUUGUCUGUUCUAGUGGAUGGUGAGUAUGCAGAGCCGCUUCAAGGAUUUCCAGCCCUGAUGCGACCGUCCAGGGCACCUAAGGAGCAUUCUAGUAAUUAUGGAACCACGAAAGUGCCCUGGAAUAAACUUGCUGAAGAGGGAACAUUUGUUUUAUGAAUUGGCCAUCCGCCAGCAGCCCACGGAAGGAAGUGUGUCGGAGCUGGCAGUGCGUUGACGGUCUGCACUUUCGUCUCCGAUGGUCAUCACGCUGGAAGUGAUUGGCGAGUGUAAGGUGGCAGCAAAAUUCUUGGGUGAACUGCCGGAUGUUUGGAACUUCCUGCCACAAUAUUUCAGUGCACAGUCUUCUGGCCAUCUUCAGGUGAUACUGGUGAAAACUACCUGAGCUCUGGUAUUUAAGGCCUCUCUGGCACAUGUGUGGUGGAUUCACUUGGUGUUGUGAGUGCACUACUCGCUGCAUCGAUAUCAGUUCAAUUGCCUUCCCGCGGUUCAGUCACAGAACUAUGCCGGCUACGGAGGACACGAAGUUUUUCGAUGACUGGAUUCCAUGCCGAAUUCAACUGGUAACUGCCGUAACAAUUAAUAAGAGACUCAUUGUCAGACAGCUGUAUUUCCAUGGAUUCAUUAAUAAUAGAACUCCAAAAGUUAGAUGUAUGGGCCACAAUUUUUCUCUCAUUGUAAUUCAUGGCUUGACCAGUGGAAAUACAGUGUUCGGCGAUGGCAGACUUAUAAGGCUGAAGGAGGCGAGUAUGCCGCUGAUGUUCUACAAUGUGAUCCGGCACAGUAUGCAUCGUUUGCCCUACAUAAGGUUUGCCACACUCACAUGGAACCCUGUAAACACCUGCCUUGCGCAGCUCUAGGUCGUAUUUGACAGAUCCCAACAGCGACGAAAUUUUUGCAGGAGGGCAAAAGAUUGCUUUCACUUUAUAUUUUCUGGUCGUAUUUGACAGAUCCCAACAGCGACGAAAUUUUUGCAGGAGGGCAAAAGAUUGCUUUCACUUUAUAUUUUCUUAGUAUUCUGCCUAUUUGCGCUGAAAUAUUACCAAUAUUUAGUAAAUAGGCAGUCGUUUCAAAGGCCUCUUCCUCUUCUUUGCUCUGUCAUUUACAGUUCUGCAGCACUCUCUCCACUUGCUGGGACAAAUACCCAUUCUUCAGAAAUACAGUCUGCAGGUGCUCCAGUUCUGUUUGCAAACUAUCGGUGUCAGAUAUGAAGUGGGCUUGCUGAAUCAAUGUCUUCAAAACACCCAUCGUUUGUGCCGGAUGGUGGCAACUAGCGACUUUUAAGUAAAGGUCUGUGAGAGUGGGCUUUCUAUAUACCGAAUGACCAAGUGUGCCAUCACUCUUACGUCGCACCAAUACGUCUAAGAAUGGCAAGCAACCCUCCUUCUCCAACUCAAUAGUAAAUUUUAUGUUUUCGUGUAUGGACGUUGUAGGAACUCUCGCAGACGAUCCAAACCAUGAGGCCAAACUAUAAAAGUAUCAUCAACAUAUCGCCAAAAUACUGUUGGUUUAAAAGUGGCUGAGGCGAGUGCUCGCUCCUCAAAAUCUUCCAUAAAAUGAUUGGCUAACGGGACAGACAAAGGACUCCCCAUGGCGACACCGUCUGAUUGCUCAUAAAACUCAUUGUUAAAUAAAAAAUAUGUACAGGAGAGAGUAUGUGCUCUAACAGUGCUGUAAAGUCUGCUCCAAACCUAUUGCCAAUAAGGUGUAGUGAGUCCCCAAGAGGUACAUUUGUAAAAAGUGAAACUACGUCAAAACUGACCAACAAGUCAUAACUUUGCAUCUGCAAUAACUUAAGUCCGCACUAGAAUUCUUUAUGUGAUGUGGACACUUUCCUACCAUUGGUUUCAGCAAAGACGCCAAAUACUUUGCUAAGUCAUAAGUGGCUGCUCCAAUAUUACUCACAAUUGGACAUAGUGGCACAUUAUCCUCGUGGAUCUUCGGCAAUCCGUAUAGCCUAGGUGGAACUGAACUAUUUGGUUUUAGUUUCUUAAUUACCUCCUUUGGUAAGGAAAUGUGAUUCAGAAGUUCUGCUGUUUACCUCACCACUCGGGUAGUUGGAUCCUUACAUAUUUUGCGAUAUGUUGAGUUGCUUAAUAAAACAUUAAUCUUAUUAAUGUAGUCCUCCCGUAACAUUAAAACACUAGCAUUACCUUUGUCCGAUUUAAGUACCACAGUAAUAUUCUUUGUUAGAGUGUCAGUUCUUACAGGUAAAAAAAAUAAAAUAAAAUAAAAAUAAAAAAAAUUAACUGAAAACUGAAACAAUGAAAAAUUCCC